UACGUAGGGUGCAAGCGUUGUCCGGAAUUAUUGGGCGUAAAGAGCUCGUAGGCGGUCUGUUACGUCGGCUGUGAAAACCUGGGGCUCAACCCCGGGCCUGCAGCCGAUACGGGCAGACUAGAAUUCGGUAGGGGAGACUGGAAUUCCUGGUGUAGCGGUGAAAUGCGCAGAUAUCAGGAGGAACACCGGUGGCGAAGGCGGGUCUCUGGGCCGAUAUUGACGCUGAGGAGCGAAAGCGUGGGGAGCGAACAGG
RNAcentral lists this ribosomal RNA (253 nucleotides) under Jatrophihabitans sp. RNAcentral describes it as "partial 16S ribosomal RNA". It matches the Rfam family "Bacterial small subunit ribosomal RNA", at positions 524 to 776 of the family's 1533-position model. Lineage: Bacteria; Bacillati; Actinomycetota; Actinomycetes; Jatrophihabitantales; Jatrophihabitantaceae. The record is from RNAcentral. RNAcentral also lists the same sequence under 1 other name.